This 3895-nucleotide long non-coding RNA is filed under the name Homo sapiens (human). Its description in RNAcentral is "uncharacterized LOC105376010, transcript variant 1 (LOC105376010)". Lineage: Eukaryota; Metazoa; Chordata; Mammalia; Primates; Hominidae. The record is from RNAcentral.
CUCUUGCCUGCUGCCACGUAAGAGGUGACUUUGCUGCUCCUCCGCCUUCCACCAUGAUUGUGAGGCCUCCCCAGCCAUGUGGAACUAUCUUUGCAUGUUCUGUCCAGCAAGUUCUCUCUCCAUGAAGACCAUACCACCUAAAGUGACCCCAUCUCAGUCUGUCUGUUGGUAGACCUCCUGCAAUCAACUGAAGGCCUGAAUAAAACAAAAGACUGGCCUCCUCCCAAGCAAGAGUGAAAAUUUGACAUAUCCCCAGACUGGACUGAGUGAGCUGCUUUAGGAAGCUGUAUGUUUUUGGAAUUUAAUUCAAAUUUAAAUGAGGUUUCCUGCAUGUUUGGACAUUAUACCUCAGAGCCGUGGGUGCCAGAGCCCUGUCCUAUGAAUGUGUCUCUUCUGAAAAUUGCUCUAGGGAUUGGUUUUACUGAUUGGACAAAAAAUAUUUUGAACCAAUUAUAACAAAAUAGCUCAUUUCUCUUUUAUAUACAUCAUGCAAUGUCUUCACAAUCAGAUUAUGAGAUCUCUAAUUACAGAAGAGGAUUUUUAUAUUUCCUACUAGCAAACAUUUGUCCACAAAAGUUAUGAAAAACAGCUGUUAUCUGGAAUGUGGCUUGAAAUAUAUCCUGUUACUCUAAAAUGGUAUUGAUAUGAUUUAUAGUUGUCCUAUUGCAGCGAUUUUAUAAGAACUCAAUCCACAGCUCUUCUAACAUGUCUUGACAGCUUUAUUGAGAUACAAUUUACACAUUAAAAAACUGCAUGCAUUUAAUAUGUACAAUUUGAAUAUUUUUGGCAUAUCUAUGCCCAUAGGAAUUUAUCAUCUACAACCAAGAAAAUCAACAUCUCCAUCAGUCCCCUAAAUUUUCUUCUGUCCCUAUGUAAUCCCUCUUCCUACCUGCCAUCACUAGGUGGUAUGGGCUAAAUUGUGCACUGCCCAUCCCCUCCCCUCCCAUUUUAUAUGUUGAAGUCCUAAUCCCUAGCACCUCAAAACAUGACUGUGUUUGGAAACAGGCCUUCAAAGAGGUGAUUAAGCUACAACAAGGCUGUUAGGAUGAACCCUAAUCUGAUCUGACUGGUGUUCCUAUAAGAAAAGAAAAUUAAGACACACAAAGAGAUACCAGGGUAUAUUUACACAUAGAGGAGACCGCGUGAGGUACAAAGAGAGAAGGCAGCCAUCUGCAAGCUAACAAAAGAAAUCUCAGAAUGAAAUCAACCCACCAACACCUGAUUUCAGACUUCUAGCUUCUGAAACUGAGAGAAAAUAUCUGUUGUUUAAACCAUCAGUCUGUGGUACUUUCUUAGAGCAGCCCUAGCAAACUAUCAUACCAGGCAACCACUGACUAGCCUUCUGUCACUAUAGAUUAGAUUGUAUUUUCUGGAAUUUUAUAUAAAUGUACUCUUUUGGUCUGGCUUGUUUCAUUCAGUAUAAGUUAUUUGAGAUCCAUCCAUGUUGGGUUGUAUCAAUAAUUCAUUCCUUUUUAUUAUUAAUAUUUUGUUGAAUGGAUAUACCACAGUUUAUUCAUCCAUUUAUUUGUUACUGGACAUUUAGGUUGUUUUCUGGUUGAACUGUUACAAAUCAAGCUUCUAUGGACAUUUAUUUACAAGUCUUUUAUGAAUAUGUGCUUUCUUUGAUCUUGGGUAAAUAUCCAAGGUUGGAAUGGCUGGGUCAUAUGAUAGGAGUAUGCUAACCUCUUUAAGAAACUGCUAAACUAUUUUCCAAAAAUUGUACCAUUUUACAUUCCCACCAGCAGUCUUUGAGAGCUCCAGUUGCUCCGUAUCUUUGCCUAAAACUAGUAUGGUCCAUCUUUUUUAAUGUAAUUGUUCUAAUAGGUAUAUAACAGUAUGCUAUUGUGCUUUUUAAAUUUGCAUUGUAUUAUGACAGUGGUAUUGAUGAUCAUCUUUUCAUUGCUUAUUUACCGAAGUACAUCUUUUUUGGUAAAGUGUUUACAUUUUUGCAUUCUUUUUUGAGUUGUUUUUUUAUUACUGAGUUUUGCAGUUUUUAAGUAUAUUCUGAACCCAAGUUCUUAAUCAAAUAAAUGACUUGAAAAUAUACUCAGUCUUUUUAUUCUCUCACUAGAGUCUUUUACAGAAUAGACAUUUUUCAUUUUAAUUAAGUCUAUUUAUCAAUUUAUUAUUUUAUGGAUCAUUUGGUAUUGCAUUUGGAAAAAUCUUUGCCUAACCGAAGGUCAAAAUUCUUCUCUUACAUUUUCUUCUAGAAUUUUUAAAGUUUUAAGAUUUGAAUUUAGGUUUCUAAUCCAUUUUGAAUUGGCGUUUUUGUACUACAUUUUUUUUCCUUCACCUCUAUAUGUAGAAUCAAUUAAGGUAAUAAUAGUUUCUAUCUGAAAUGUCCUGCUAACACACUUACCUAUUUCAAUACUCAUUCUACCUUCCCGUCUCCCUGCAUUUUGUUUUUUUUUUUUACAUCCUUUCACCCAGGCUUUAGCUCCCAUCUCCUUCUAAGUCCUCACGCCCUUGCUGUGUCUAUGAUACUAAUGUGAUUCAGACCAUUUCUCUCCCAGUUUCUUUCCUUCAUAUAUAUGCAAUUUUAAGUCUUUCUUAUUUAAAAUAAUAAUAAUAAUAAUAAUAAUGCUUUUUGAAGCUGCAUAGCUUUCUAACUACAUAACAUUAACUUGCUUUGUUCUUUUCCUAUAAAACUAUUCUCUUGAAAGAAUUAUAUAUUCUCUCAUUUCUCUCUCUUCCAACCAACACUGCCAGGUUUCUGGCCCAGUCAUCGCACUGACACUAUUCUUACCAUCAACACUUGUGAUUUCCCUUUGCCACUUAUACAGAUCCCAUUUCAGCAUUCAUCACACAGGUCUCCCUGGGAGGCAUUUACACUGUGGAUCUCUGUAACUGGAAGGCAUUUCCAAAGCUUGUCUGAGUCUUCCACAUUGUCUCUCCUCUUUCUCUCUGUUACUUGAGACAUGUUUUCUCCAUAUUUUCUCUUCUCAUUCUAUACAUUCCACUGGUGACCACACAUAAAAUCAAGGAAUCAAAUGCCACCUUUGAAAAAUGAAUCUCCUAAGUAGAUUUCUGGUCCAGACUUAUUUACCCAGACCAUCAACUUUCUGUUGUAUAUUUCCAAUAGCAAUGUCAAGUGCAAUACGUGACAAACAUAAUGCCAUUCUUCUUUCACCUAAACACAGGGGUCUUUCAUACUUCCUGUGGGGGUAGACGGCACAUCAUUAACCCUGUCACCUAACCACUGUCCCCUCCAUUCCCAAUGAAAAAUAACCCAGAUAUUUCAGUUACAUCUCCUACAUAUGUCUCCAAUCUAUGCUUUCUCUUCAUAUCCACUGCUUCUCUCCUUAGUAUAUCUCAUCUAAAAUUCUGGAAUAGACUUCAGAUGGACCUGCAGAUUCUAAUUCUUACCCUCUCAACAUUCGACUUGUAUAUUGAUGCAUGAGUAAAGUUUCUGAAACACAAAUAUGUUUAGGGGAAUCCCAUGUAGAUCAUAUAUUUAGGCAACUCUAAUACAGAAAAAAUUGAACCCAUUCUCAUGUAACAUUCAGAUUGUUGUCUUUCUCUCACAUCUCAUCACUAACAACUGCUCUACACAAAAUCUGAGAUCUAGCAAUAGCUAGCUUCAUAUAGUUUCCUGAGCAUGGAAUAUUGAUACAACUUCCAGGCCUCAGAUGAGUGGACAAAAUUAAACUCACAAGGCAGUAAUGGCAUUCAAUCCCUGAAAAUUUCGCUGCUCUUUCUAAAAAGGUAAAAUAUAUUCUGCCUAUUAUAAAGUAAAUGCUGACCUUCCUAUUUUGUUUCUUUUCCUUUACGCUAAUGGAAAAUAACUUUAUGAUUUAAAAUAUAAUUUAUUGUACUUAUAAUAAUUUGUUUUGACUUGAUGGUUAAUGCUUGGGCAUAACUUAAAAUUAGAAUAAAAUGUAUAAAUGUAAAAGAA